This 498-nucleotide ribosomal RNA is filed under the name uncultured bacterium. Its description in RNAcentral is "partial 16S ribosomal RNA". It matches the Rfam family "Bacterial small subunit ribosomal RNA", at positions 30 to 523 of the family's 1533-position model. The record is from RNAcentral.
AUUGAACGCUGGCGGCAUGCCUUACACAUGCAAGUCGAACGGUAACAGGUCUUCGGAUGCUGACGAGUGGCGAACGGGUGAGUAAUACAUCGGAACAUGCCUAGUAGUGGGGGAUAACUACUCGAAAGAGUGGCUAAUACCGCAUGAGAUCUACGGAUGAAAGCAGGGGAUCGCAAGACCUUGUGCUACUAGAGCGGCCGAUGGCAGAUUAGGUAGUUGGUGGGAUAAAAGCUUACCAAGCCGACGAUCUGUAGCUGGUCUGAGAGGACGAUCAGCCACACUGGGACUGAGACACGGCCCAGACUCCUACGGGAGGCAGCAGUGGGGAAUUUUGGGCAAUGGGCGCAAGCCUGAUCCAGCAAUGCCGCGUGCAGGAUGAAGGCCUUCGGGUCGUAAACUGCUUUUGUACGGAACGAAAAGCCCCGGGUUAAUACCCUGGGGUCAUGACGGUACCGUAAGAAUAAGCACCGGCUAACUACGUGCCAGCAGCCGCGGUAA